CUAAACCACAGUAUGUUAAUUUAUCUUGGUUUGAAGUGUUUGCUGUAAAAGCUGAUCUGUCGCUAUGGAGAAAAAUUUCUGAAGGUUCUGAUGUGACCUGGAGCUGUGAGGUGUCUCGGGUGCCUGAAUCUGCCACACUGCAGUGGGAAAAGGAAGGAGAUCCCACCGCUAACACCACGCUGUUCUACAACAACACAGCCCACAUUAUCAUCCACAGCGCUGGUCAACACAGCCAGGGGCGAUACAGCUGCACGCUUAGAAAGAAUGGGCAGCUUUUAUAUGCCGUUAACAAAACGAUCAACGUUGAGCUGGGUACAUAUCUCACACACCACACUCUAUACAGAGUGAGUUGCAACUGCA
Long non-coding RNA from Megalops cyprinoides (Indo-Pacific tarpon), 360 nucleotides. RefSeq lists it as uncharacterized. Lineage: Eukaryota; Metazoa; Chordata; Actinopteri; Elopiformes; Megalopidae. The record is from RefSeq and is a predicted model, not a curated record. The transcript has 3 exons.